UGCGCCUUCAAAGGAAGGUGAACUUAAGAGUAAAAGCAGCUAAUGAGUUAUAGUUUAACAAGGAUGGCUCAGCUAUCAAGAAGCUCCAGACUGGAGUCAAUAAGCUUGUUACUGCUACUUCCUAACUGGUGCAUAGAUAAUUUAACGCCGCUUGUGUGGCAAUCUCCAUCUAUAUGUGACCUGCAAAAGAUAAAUCCUUAAAUAGUAGGUCAAUUGCGAAGCUUUGUUAGUGAUGAUCCGAUGAUCAAGAACCGGAGCACCUUCAAGAUUGGAACUGCAGAGUGGUCGGGUUCUCAGAUGUAAGCUGCACAACAUUAAGCUAUCUCCCCAUCGAUAUUGCACACUUUAACUUGUUACCAUAUUUAGUUCUUUUGUAUGCCUUUAUAGUGGCUUGUUAAUUUACACUGCUGGUUCCUGCAACCUUUUACAAAUUGGUAAAAAUGAAAAUUGAGAGAGGAAAAUUUGUGCUGAA
This is a long non-coding RNA of Zea mays, 472 nucleotides long. RefSeq lists it as uncharacterized. NCBI's taxonomy places the organism in Eukaryota, Viridiplantae, Streptophyta, Magnoliopsida, Poales, Poaceae. The transcript has 3 exons. The record is from RefSeq and is a predicted model, not a curated record.